Molecule: ribosomal RNA, 321 nt
Filed under: Escherichia coli
Lineage: Bacteria; Pseudomonadati; Pseudomonadota; Gammaproteobacteria; Enterobacterales; Enterobacteriaceae
Description: partial 23S ribosomal RNA
Rfam family: Bacterial large subunit ribosomal RNA
Source: RNAcentral
GGUUAAGCGACUAAGCGUACACGGUGGAUGCCCUGGCAGUCAGAGGCGAUGAAGGACGUGCUAAUCUGCGAUAAGCGUCGGUAAGGUGAUAUGAACCGUUAUAACCGGCGAUUUCCGAAUGGGGAAACCCAGUGUGAUUCGUCACACUAUCAUUAACUGAAUCCAUAGGUUAAUGAGGCGAACCGGGGGAACUGAAACAUCUAAGUACCCCGAGGAAAAGAAAUCAACCGAGAUUCCCCCAGUAGCGGCGAGCGAACGGGGAGCAGCCCAGAGCCUGAAUCAGUGUGUGUGUUAGUGGAAGCGUCUGGAAAGGCGCGCGAU